GACGAACGCUGGCGGCGUGCUUAACACAUGCAAGUCGAACGGAAAGGCCCUGCUUUUGUGGGGUGCUCGAGUGGCGAACGGGUGAGUAACACGUGAGUAACCUGCCCUUGACUUUGGGAUAACUUCAGGAAACUGGGGCUAAUACGGGAUAGGAUCUCCUGCUGCAUGGUGGGGGUUGGAAAGUUUCGGCGGUUGGGGAUGGGCUCGCGGCUUAUCAGCUUGUUGGUGGGGUAGUGGCUUACCAAGCCUUUGACGGGUAGCCGGCCUGAGAGGGUGACCGGCCACGUUGGGACUGAGAUACGGCCCAGACUCCUACGGGAGGCAGCAGUGGGGAAUAUUGCACAAUGGGCGGAAGCCUGAUGCAGCAACGCCGCGUGCGGGAUGACGGCCUUCGGGUUGUAAACCGCUUUCGCCUGUGACGAAGCGUGAGUGACGGUAAUGGGUAAAGAAGCACCGGCUAACUACGUG
RNAcentral lists this ribosomal RNA (468 nucleotides) under uncultured bacterium. Its description in RNAcentral is "partial 16S ribosomal RNA". It matches the Rfam family "Bacterial small subunit ribosomal RNA", at positions 28 to 507 of the family's 1533-position model. The record is from RNAcentral.